GAUGAACGCUGGCGGCGUGCCUAAUACAUGCAAGUCGAGCGAACGGACGAGAAGCUUGCUUCUCUGAUGUUAGCGGCGGACGGGUGAGUAACACGUGGAUAACCUACCUAUAAGACUGGGAUAACUUCGGGAAACCGGAGCUAAUACCGGAUAAUAUUUUGAACCGCAUUGCUCAAAAGUGAAAGACGGUCUUGCUUUCACUUAUAGAUGGAUCCGCGCUGCAUUAGCUAGUUGGUAAGGUAACGGCUUACCAAGGCAACGACGCAUAGCCGACCUGAGAGGGUGAUCGGCCACACUGGAACUGAGACACGGUCCAGACUCCUACGGGAGGCAGCAGUAGGGAAUCUUCCGCAAUGGGCGAAAGCCUGACGGAGCAACGCCGCGUGAGUGAUGAAGGUCUUCGGAUCGCAAAACUCUGUUAUUAGGGAAGAACAUAUGUGUAAGUAACUGUGCACAUCUUGACGGUACCUAAUCAGAAAGCCACGGCUAACUACGUG
RNAcentral lists this ribosomal RNA (497 nucleotides) under uncultured bacterium. RNAcentral describes it as "partial 16S ribosomal RNA". It matches the Rfam family "Bacterial small subunit ribosomal RNA", at positions 28 to 507 of the family's 1533-position model. The record is from RNAcentral.